GAGUUUGAUCCUGGCUCAGAUUGAACGCUGGCGGCAGGCCUAACACAUGCAAGUCGAACGGUAACAGAAAGCAGCUUGCUGCUUUGCUGACGAGUGGCGGACGGGUGAGUAAUGUCUGGGAAACUGCCUGAUGGAGGGGGAUAACUACUGGAAACGGUAGCUAAUACCGCAUAACGUCGCAAGACCAAAGAGGGGGACCUUCGGGCCUCUUGCCAUCGGAUGUGCCCAGAUGGGAUUAGCUUGUUGGUGGGGUAACGGCUCACCAAGGCGACGAUCUCUAGCUGGUCUGAGAGGAUGACCAGCCACACUGGAACUGGGACACGGUCCAGACUCCUACGGGAGGCAGCAGUGGGGAAUAUUGCACAAUGGGCGCAAGCCUGAUGCAGCCAUGCCGCGUGUAUGAAGAAGGCCUUCGGGUUGUAAAGUACUUUCAGCGGGGAGGAAGGGAGUAAAGUUAAUACCUUUGCUCAUUGACGUU
RNAcentral lists this ribosomal RNA (478 nucleotides) under uncultured bacterium. RNAcentral's name for it is "bacterial SSU rRNA". It matches the Rfam family "Bacterial small subunit ribosomal RNA", at positions 9 to 476 of the family's 1533-position model. The record is from RNAcentral.